AAUGCCAAAAGGACAAGAGAAGUUUGUUGCAAUUGGUGAUCUUGAAGGAUGGGGAUACUCGAACAGCGAUAUCCGUGCAUACGUCGCAUCUCUAUCGAUUCUCCAGAUUGCUAUCCAGAGAGGCUUGCCAAGUUGAUUAUUGUUCAUGUUCCCGUCAUAUUCAUGACUGCCUGGAAGGUUGUUUACCCAUUCAUUGACAGCAGAACCAAGAAGAAGGUAAAGCACUAGCUAUGCCACUUGAACUUAUGUUGCUCCGACUUUUGAUUUUUCUUGAAGUACUCGUGUUUUGAACGCCAUACCCGACGGUUAAUUGUACAUGGAUAUAGGGUAUAGAAAUCUUCCAAUGACCCGCAAUUACUG
Molecule: long non-coding RNA, 360 nt
Organism: Hibiscus syriacus
Lineage: Eukaryota; Viridiplantae; Streptophyta; Magnoliopsida; Malvales; Malvaceae
Exons: 2
Source: RefSeq, a predicted model, not a curated record